RNAcentral lists this ribosomal RNA (440 nucleotides) under uncultured bacterium. RNAcentral describes it as "partial 16S ribosomal RNA". It matches the Rfam family "Bacterial small subunit ribosomal RNA", at positions 338 to 795 of the family's 1533-position model. The record is from RNAcentral.
CCUACGGGUGGCAGCAGUGGGGGAUAUUGCACAAUGGGGGAAACCCUGAUGCAGCGACGCCGCGUGGGUGAAGAAGCGUUUCGGCGCGUAAAGCUCUGUCAGCAGGGAAGAAAAAGACGGUGCCUGACGAAGAAGCCCCGGCUAACUACGACCCAGCAGCCGCGGUAAUACGUAGGGGGCAAGCGUUAUCCGGAUUUACGGGGUGUAAAGGGGGCGCAGACGGCGAAGCAAGCCUGGAGUGAAAGCCCGGGGCUCAACCCCGGGACUGCUCUGGAAACUGGGUGGCUUGAGUGCAGGAGAGGCAAGCGGAAUUCCUGGUGUAGCGGUGAAAUGCGUAGAUAUAAGGAGGAACACCAGUGGCGAAGGCGGCUUGCUGGACUGUAACUGACGUUGAGGCCCGAAAGCGUGGGGAGCAAACAGGAUUAGAUACCCGGGUAGUC